RNAcentral lists this ribosomal RNA (253 nucleotides) under uncultured bacterium. RNAcentral's name for it is "partial 16S ribosomal RNA". It matches the Rfam family "Bacterial small subunit ribosomal RNA", at positions 524 to 776 of the family's 1533-position model. The record is from RNAcentral.
UACGGGGGGGGUAAGCGUUGUUCGGAAUUACUGGGCGUAAAGGGCUCGUAGGCGGCCAACUAAGUCGGACGUGAAAUCCCUCAGCUUAACUGGGGAACUGCGUCCGAUACUGGAUGGCUUGAAUUCGGGAGAGGGAUGCAGAAUUCCAGGUGUAGCGGUGAAAUGCGUAGAUAUCUGGAGGAAUACCGGUGGCGAAGGCGGCAUCCUGGACCGACAUUGACGCUGAGGAGCGAAAGCUAGGGGAGCAAACGGG